RNAcentral lists this ribosomal RNA (317 nucleotides) under uncultured Bartonella sp. RNAcentral describes it as "bacterial SSU rRNA". It matches the Rfam family "Bacterial small subunit ribosomal RNA", at positions 60 to 404 of the family's 1533-position model. The record is from RNAcentral. Lineage: Bacteria; Pseudomonadati; Pseudomonadota; Alphaproteobacteria; Hyphomicrobiales; Bartonellaceae.
AGUCGAGCGCACUCUUUUAGAGUGAGCGGCAAACGGGUGAGUAACGCGUGGGAAUCUACCCCUCUCUACGGAAUAACACAGAGAAAUUUGUGCUAAUACCGUAUACGUCCUAUUGGAGAAAGAUUUAUCGGAGAUGGAUGAGCCCGCGUUGGAUUAGCUAGUUGGUGAGGUAACGGCUCACCAAGGCGACGAUCCAUAGCUGGUCUGAGAGGAUGAUCAGCCACACUGGGACUGAGACACGGCCCAGACUCCUACGGGAGGCAGCAGUGGGGAAUAUUGGACAAUGGGGGCAACCCUGAUCCAGCCAUGCCGCGUGA